Molecule: ribosomal RNA, 372 nt
Filed under: Triticum aestivum (bread wheat)
Lineage: Eukaryota; Viridiplantae; Streptophyta; Magnoliopsida; Poales; Poaceae
Description: partial small subunit ribosomal RNA
Source: RNAcentral
AUGCUCCCGGCCAGCUCGUCGAGCUGCCCCACGGUGGGCGCCAACUGUCGUGGUGGGCGCACGGCAGAUGCCAAGGGAUGGCUAAAGAGAGGAGGAGGCUCGAGGGCGCUGGUGGACUCCAGAGGCGAGGUUGGCAUGAGCGGGCGCGGGACGCUGUACAUGCCCAAGUUCGGGGCUCUCCGGAGAGAUAAUACCCCUAGUCCUGCCGAGUGUAGUUGGAUGAUCGAUAGUACAAUGUUGCUCCUGGAGCUGUAUGGAGGAGGAAGGGAGCUGGCCAAGGCUUGGGCUGCUCCUUCACUCCGGUGUUGCUGUUUUGUGGCUAGUCCUUCCGCCCGCCCCCCGAAUGACCGUGGGCUCCCGGGGGUUUUAUAG